This 1556-nucleotide long non-coding RNA is filed under the name Rattus norvegicus (Norway rat). RNAcentral describes it as "long non-coding RNA NONRATT029002". Lineage: Eukaryota; Metazoa; Chordata; Mammalia; Rodentia; Muridae. The record is from RNAcentral.
UUUUGAUAUGGUGGUGAGACUUGGCUGCAUAUAGCCCAGGUCCAUCUCCAGCUCACUAUGUGGUAGGUCCUGCCUCUGCCUCCUAAAUGCUGAGAUUAUCCUUACCUGUCACACGCAUGCGCACACACACACAACCUACCAGUAAAAGCCUUCCAUUUUUAAGUCAGCAUUUUUAAAGUUUAGUACCUGUUUUCUUGGGAGUCUUGAAGUAGUAGGUACAGUCAACUUGAACCCAUGCCACACUGCAGUAAGUGUCCUUUUGGAGAGUGUCAUAACUGUGACCAUUCUCUAGGUUCUCCUUCGUGUUCCCGAUGUUGCCACAGUGCCUCUGCUCAGAGCUGCCACUGUCGUGUGUGCUGCUGGCUGUCGAGCUGCUCUCUGUUCUGGUGGACCAGGACAGCCUAGCACAGCAGCUGUGCUCCCACUCAGGUAAAGCAGGGCAGGGCGGCUCUCAACUGUCCUGCAGUGAGAGGGAAGGACUGGGGCAGGUUCAGAGCCCCUCAAGGGCUUCUGUACUUGUACCCCAGGCUACAAUGAAAAGGGGGACCCUGAGUGAGGUCUGGAAUCCUUUUCAGAAGGCUGCCUUCUCCUGAGGCUGUACAUGUACAUUACAUCAAGGCCUGACAAAACGGCCUCAGAGACACAGUGGCUUCAGCUGGAACAAGAGGUAAGACUCUCAGACUCUGCUCACCCUUCACCCUUCAGGAGCCCAGGGCCUCCUCUCCACUUGUGGGAAAAUAGGAGCUACAAUUCAUUUUGGUCAGUGUGUCAAACAGCAGAGGGUAACAUUUAGGGGUUCCUCACACAGAUGCAAUACAAGUGCAUCCUGGGUUGCAGUGGUGCUCAGCAGAGUUGCCUGAUCAUGCUGCCUGGGGCUUGGGGCCUGAUCCUGGUCCUGGAAGCAGUGAGCUGUUGGUGAGAUUCAGGUCUGAGAGCCUGAGGCUACCACUACUUGUACCCCACCUGUGCAGGCAAGCAGUUGUUGAAGUAGCUAGAGCACCUUAGGAAUGCCCGCAGAAGCCUAUGAUAACUGGGUUCCACACAGGGUGAACACCAUGUCUUCUUGUUCCAGGUAGUGUGGCUCUUGGCCAAGCUGAGUGUGCAGAGCCCUUCCCCCGCUGGCAUUGUUUCUGACUGUCAGUGCAAUGUAGAGGCAGUCAGAGCACUCACUGUGAUGUUGCACAGGCAAUGGCUGACUGUGCGGCGGGCAGGGGGUCCAAGGACCCACCAGCAGAAGCAGACGGUCCGCUGUCUGCGGGACACUGUGCUGCUGCUGCACAGCCUAUCUCAGAAGGACAAGCUCUUUACUGUGCACUGUGUCGAGGUCCUGCAUCAGUACGACCAGGUGAUGCCAGGGGUCAGCAUGCUGAUUCGAGCCCUUCCUGAUGUGACUGACUGUGAAGAGGCUGCCCUGGAUGACCUCUGUGCUGCAGAGACAGAUUUGGAAGACGCCGAGAUGGACUGUAGCUGAGGGCCUGAGCAUCCAGCCACAAGGUGGCACUAGCCCCACCGUCUUUGCCACAUCCACUGAUUAAAACUGCACUUCCUGCUGAGAA